AUUGAACGCUGGCGGCAGGCCUAACACAUGCAAGUCGAACGGUAACAGGAAGAAGCUUGCUUCUUUGCUGACGAGUGGCGGACGGGUGAGUAAUGUCUGGGAAACUGCCUGAUGGAGGGGGAUAACUACUGGAAACGGUAGCUAAUACCGCAUAACGUCGCAAGACCAAAGAGGGGGACCUUCGGGCCUCUUGCCAUCGGAUGUGCCCAGAUGGGAUUAGCUAGUAGGUGGGGUAACGGCUCACCUAGGCGACGAUCCCUAGCUGGUCUGAGAGGAUGACCAGCCACACUGGAACUGAGACACGGUCCAGACUCCUACGGGAGGCAGCAGUGGGGAAUAUUGCACAAUGGGCGCAAGCCUGAUGCAGCCAUGCCGCGUGUAUGAAGAAGGCCUUCGGGUUGUAAAGUACUUUCAGCGGGGAGGAAGGGAGUAAAGUUAAUACCUUUGCUCAUUGACGUUACCCGCAGAAGAAGCACCGGCUAACUCCGUGCCAGCAGCCGCGGUAAUACGGAGGGUGCAAGCGUUAAUCGGAAUUACUGGGCGUAAAGCGCACGCAGGCGGUUUGUUAAGUCAGAUGUGAAAUCCCCGGGCUCAACCUGGGAACUGCAUCUGAUACUGGCAAGCUUGAGUCUCGUAGAGGGGGGUAGAAUUCCAGGUGUAGCGGUGAAAUGCGUAGAGAUCUGGAGGAAUACCGGUGGCGAA
Molecule: ribosomal RNA, 702 nt
Filed under: Shigella sp.
Lineage: Bacteria; Pseudomonadati; Pseudomonadota; Gammaproteobacteria; Enterobacterales; Enterobacteriaceae
Also listed under: 1 other name
Description: bacterial SSU rRNA
Rfam family: Bacterial small subunit ribosomal RNA
Source: RNAcentral